RNAcentral lists this long non-coding RNA (1015 nucleotides) under Manacus vitellinus (golden-collared manakin). Its description in RNAcentral is "lncRNA (ENSMVIG00005010094.1)". The record is from RNAcentral. Lineage: Eukaryota; Metazoa; Chordata; Aves; Passeriformes; Pipridae.
ACCAACACCACAUCAUUUCUGCUCCCUCUCCCUCCCUGUAACAAACUUUCAAAGCCAGUUUCUAGUCGACCUUGAUUGGUUUAUUUUAGUUUUACACUUUGUCCCUCACAUACAGUUAAGUGUCUUGUACUGUUAGAUUUCUACAAAAAUAUCAAUUUUUCAAAAGCAAAAAAAAAGGGAAAGAUAUAUUUUAAUAUAUAAAAGGAAAAAAGCUAAAUCUGACAUUUCAUUAUAUUCUUAAAAACAUUCCAGUCUAUUUACAGAUGUGUAAAAAACAAAGAAAAUCUCCAGGUCUCUUGGUGUAGUGAGAGCGUGCGCCUUGCAGGGGUUUCCUUUGUUCUCUUGAUUCCAAAGUCUUCUCAGUAGGUGCCAUAUUCUAUGAUUAUUGCCACAAAUGAUAGCAUAUAUAAUUUUUAAAAGGUUUGGGAGCUUAAGGGAAGAGCAAAAGAAAGUCAUCAUUUAAAUUCAUAGCAAAAUAUUCAUAGCAAAAAAUACAUGGGACAGUGAAAUAAGCAAAAACUGAGAGCAUUUUGAACAUGCUUUGUUGACUGGUAGAACCCAUUCAUAGAUCCUUCUUGGAACUGCACCAACUACCACCUUUUGCAGCCAAAUUGGGGGGCUCUCCUUAGUUAAUUUAGUAAUCACAUUCAGGGGCCCAAAAUUUUUGCUGUCACCUUUACACAGUACAUUUUUAUUGCAGUAAAGUGUUACUUAGUGCCCAAUGCCAAGCAAUAAAUACAUCCAGGGAUUUUACACUAUGUGAUAAUGAACAGAACAUCCUCAAAAGUACAGCAUUUGUUUUAGAUCAUGUUUGAUCAAUUAUCAUGGUAAGUUACAGCCUUCUCUGUCCCAGAGAAAGCACACAAUUCUGUGUGCUAAUUAAAAUCGGCUAUUUGGAACCAUAAAAGGGUGAGGUACAGAAAGAGGGGUCAGUGAUUAGGAAUUUGAAAGGAAUCACAGCACAGGUCUGGAUGCUGUUUCUCACACAGGAGGAAUAAAAUCUACUGGCAAAACA